AGUUAGGAUUGGAUCGAAGAAUUAGUUAGAGUUGGAACAAAGUUCUUGAGCUCUAUUUGGAUUAGGACUGAACUAACCCACCACCCAUCUAUUUAAGUGAAAUCUCCACUCCCCACCUCUCUUCACAUGGAAUAACUCACACCCCAAAUCAGAUGUGCACCCCCUCUCCUCUCUUCCGUGAGAAAAUAAGGUGGCCUCCCCUCUCCAACAUGCUAAAAAGAAAGGAGGAGCAUCCAAGAGUUGGACGCCCCAAACCCCAUACAUCUCAAGCCUCUUCUCCUACCUCUUUUUGAAGGAUUUUGUGAGAGUUUGAUUACUAAUUCUUAGGCAUCAAAGAGAGGCUCCUCUACUAGUUUUACAAUAAAAAAUUAGAGA
RNAcentral lists this long non-coding RNA (375 nucleotides) under Elaeis guineensis (African oil palm). RNAcentral's name for it is "long non-coding RNA (EGUI_LNC035962)". The record is from RNAcentral. Lineage: Eukaryota; Viridiplantae; Streptophyta; Magnoliopsida; Arecales; Arecaceae.